CUUGAAAGCACUGGAAAGGUUGUUAAAGAUUGGUUCAAUGGAACAGUUUCAUUCGAUCGGACUGUAGGAAACCGGACCACCUUUACAUUACUAUAUGAAAGAAGUGCACCCACUGUGUAUAUACAAUCACCAAGUGGUUUGGUUUAUGAUCAGGGACACACCACUAACAGUGUUAAUGUUUUGUAUUGCAAUAAAAGUCAAUGAUUUCAAAAUAAUGUAAUUAAAAAUUAUUCCAUUUCUUUUUUAUCUAUUUUUGCAUGACAGGUGGGUAAAUGGAAAUACAGCUUCUUUAAUACCGAAACAUCUGCUCAGGAAACAAGUUUAUUAGUGUGAUAGGAUUGGCGAGUCCCUUCCUGCUUCCGGAUUAGUCGGUUGAGGUGCUCAUUGAUUGUCCUAUCAUUGGGCAAGGGGGAUGUAUAAAUUUGGCUGGGGAGCAUUUUGUUGUCACGGGUGCUACGCCCCUGUCUGUUUGGGUAAACCUUGCGGCUGGUGUUGGGUUGACGUGUUUCCUCGCGGCAGUGUAUAGUCCGAGGUGAGCCGAAGAGAGAGAGCGGCGUUAAUAAUACCGACAGUGCCUGCCUUUACACAUUGUACUAUGGUGUGGUAGAGCUAUUAAAUCGAGUGAGCCUACGGGUGCACAGAAGUGCUGUGUACGUGAUUUCUGGGAAGACCCCACACACGAUCUACGGAACGAGCCUGCAGCUUUCGGGCUUACCCUUAUAGUAACCUGUGUUUCCGGAUCACUCAUCCCAAGGUUAUGUGUCUUAAAGGAGCUGAGUGCCGAAGGCGGGGCGGAUUGUGGUGGUGGUUUUGCUUCACGAGUGCUGUGCUGUGUGCAGUGGUGGGUGUGAGUGUCUACACAGGUGCAACCAAAAGUUGUGUGGUGCUGUGGAGGCCGAUUAGUGCCCUUGAUCCCCGUUGUUACGCCUUGGCUCCUGCAUUCACAUCUAUAAAGGUGUCUGAUUAUUGAAGUUCUGUGUUAUGGUUGAGUAAUUUCUGUUUUUGGUUUUUCAUUAGGUGCAUCAGAUACUUUUAUCAUUAAUAAAAAAUCCAUACUAAUUUUACCCACGUCUUCCGCUGAUUCUUUAUACACGAACCUGUGUUGCCUAAGUGCAAGUUAUUUUCCCUGGCCAAGUGCCAGGGUGGCGUAGUCGCUACAUUUUCUUUCGUCAG
Long non-coding RNA from Silurus meridionalis, 1173 nucleotides. RefSeq lists it as uncharacterized. NCBI's taxonomy places the organism in Eukaryota, Metazoa, Chordata, Actinopteri, Siluriformes, Siluridae. The record is from RefSeq and is a predicted model, not a curated record. The transcript is spliced from 4 exons.